ACGUUGAGGGAAUUAACCACCCUCGUAUAU
Molecule: non-coding RNA, 30 nt
Filed under: Trypanosoma brucei brucei
Lineage: Eukaryota; Euglenozoa; Kinetoplastea; Trypanosomatida; Trypanosomatidae
Source: RNAcentral